CAAUGAACAAUGGAGAAAGAUGAGGAUAUGGAGAAUCGACGACAUCCGAGUGAUAAAAAGACGGAUACUCAUCUUUCUCUGGGGGGAAGAAAAGAGGACAUAUAUAUAUGUGUUGGUCGCCAUUUUGAGUGGGCGGUAUCUUCCGCAGCAUCGAGUGCACAGUAUCUUUGGUGACAUCUGUAGCAGCAUCGUAGCAGUAUCUUCAGCAGUAUUAGUCACGAUAUCUAUCAUUGUGCAUUUAUAGUGAUUCGUCUUUAGUUUAUUUUUUUUGGUUGUUCACUUGUAAAAUUUGUUCCUGUUCUUCUAUUGCUGCCUACAAAACAAAUAAAGACUAAAGACCUAUAAAUUAGUGGUGUGCAUCCAUAUCAGGAAUUAGUCAAUCCUUAUAUAUACAGAAACUUGAACAGUAUUU
RNAcentral lists this long non-coding RNA (412 nucleotides) under Androctonus crassicauda. The record is from RNAcentral. Lineage: Eukaryota; Metazoa; Arthropoda; Arachnida; Scorpiones; Buthidae.